CGGGUAGUAGCUCAGUGGUAGAGCUGCCGCUUCGUAUGCGGGAAGACCUGGGUACGAUUCCGGGCUGCUUCC
Transfer RNA from Toxocara canis (dog roundworm), 72 nucleotides. It matches the Rfam family "tRNA". From Rfam's summary of the family: Transfer RNA (tRNA) molecules are approximately 80 nucleotides in length. Lineage: Eukaryota; Metazoa; Nematoda; Chromadorea; Rhabditida; Toxocaridae. The record is from Rfam.